CUGGGCCUCCGUGGCCUCCGACAUCUUCUCCGGGACCCAGAUAGAGCCCAGCGCCCUGGUGCAGCGGCUGGACCUGGACGCGGAGAGCGCUGCCUCCCCCCAGAGAGGAGCGCAGCCCCCGGCGGAGCUGCCCAAGAGGGAGAAGCGGAAGCUGAGACGCGCCCGGUGGCUGCAGAAGAUCGAGGCCCUGGAGCUGGCCCAGCGG
Long non-coding RNA from Condylura cristata (star-nosed mole), 205 nucleotides. RefSeq lists it as uncharacterized. The record is from RefSeq and is a predicted model, not a curated record. The transcript is spliced from 3 exons. NCBI's taxonomy places the organism in Eukaryota, Metazoa, Chordata, Mammalia, Eulipotyphla, Talpidae.